This 429-nucleotide ribosomal RNA is filed under the name Acidobacteriota bacterium. RNAcentral's name for it is "Acidobacteria bacterium partial 16S ribosomal RNA". It matches the Rfam family "Bacterial small subunit ribosomal RNA", at positions 355 to 776 of the family's 1533-position model. Lineage: Bacteria; Pseudomonadati; Acidobacteriota. The record is from RNAcentral.
UGGGGAAUUUUGGACAAUGGGGGAAACCCUGAUCCAGCCAUCCCGCGUGUGCGAUGAAGGCCUUCGGGUUGUAAAGCACUUUUGGCAGGAAAGAAACGUCAUGGGUUAAUACCCCGUGAAACUGACGGUACCUGCAGAAUAAGCACCGGCUAACUACGUGCCAGCAGCCGCGGUAAUACGUAGGGUGCAAGCGUUAAUCGGAAUUACUGGGCGUAAAGCGUGCGCAGGCGGUUCGGAAAGAAAGAUGUGAAAUCCCAGGGCUCAACUUUGGAACUGCAUUUUUAACUACCGGGCUAGAGUGUGUCAGAGGGAGGUGGAAUUCCGCGUGUAGCAGUGAAAUGCGUAGAUAUGCGGAAGAACACCGAUGGCGAAGGCAGCCUCCUGGGAUAACACUGACGCUCAUGCACGAAAGCGUGGGGAGCAAACAGG